AUAUCAAUAAGCGGAGGAAAAGAAACUAACAAGGAUUCCCCUAGUAACUGCGAGUGAAGCGGGAAAAGCUCAAAUUUAAAAUCUGGCAGUCUCUGGCUGUCCGAGUUGUAAUCUAGAGAAGCGUUAUCCGCGCUGGACCGUGUACAAGUCUCCUGGAAUGGAGCGUCAUAGAGGGUGAGAAUCCCGUCUUUGACACGGACUGCCAGGGCUUUGUGAUGCGCUCUCAAAGAGUCGAGUUGUUUGGGAAUGCAGCUCAAAAUGGGUGGUAAAUUCCAUCUAAAGCUAAAUAUUGGCGAGAGACCGAUAGCGAACAAGUACCGUGAGGGAAAGAUGAAAAGAACUUUGGAAAGAGAGUUAAACAGUACGUGAAAUUGCUGAAAGGGAAACGCUUGAAGUCAGUCGCGUUGGCCAGGGAUCAACCUUGCUUUUGCUUGGUGUACUUUCUGGUUGACGGGUCAGCAUCAAUUUUGAUCAUUGGAAAAAGGUUGUAGGGAAUGUGGCAUCUUCGGAUGUGUUAUAGCCCUUCACUGCAUACAAUGGUUGGGAUUGAGGAACUCAGCACGCCGCAAGGCCGGGUUUUAACCACGUACGUGCUUAGGAUGCUGGCAUAAUGGCUUUAAUCGACCCGUCUUGAAACACGGACCAAGGAGUCUAACAUGCCUGCGAGUGUUUGGGUGGAAAACCCGAGCGCGCAAUGAAAGUGAAAGUUGAGAUCCCUGUCGUGGGGAGCAUCGACGCCCGGACCAGACCUUUUGCGACGGUUCCGCGGUAGAGCAUGUAUGUUGGGACCCGAAAGAUGGUGAACUAUGCCUGAAUAGGGUGAAGCCAGAGGAAACUCUGGUGGAGGCUCGUAGCGAUUCUGACGUGCAAAUCGAUCGUCAAAUUUGGGUAUAGGGGCGAAAGACUAAUCGAACCAUCUAGUAGCUGGUUCCUG
Molecule: ribosomal RNA, 934 nt
Filed under: Cortinarius perelegans
Lineage: Eukaryota; Fungi; Basidiomycota; Agaricomycetes; Agaricales; Cortinariaceae
Description: partial large subunit ribosomal RNA
Rfam family: Eukaryotic large subunit ribosomal RNA
Source: RNAcentral